Molecule: transfer RNA, 75 nt
Filed under: Rhodoferax sp.
Lineage: Bacteria; Pseudomonadati; Pseudomonadota; Betaproteobacteria; Burkholderiales; Comamonadaceae
Also listed under: 1 other name
Description: tRNA-Glu
Rfam family: tRNA
About the family: Transfer RNA (tRNA) molecules are approximately 80 nucleotides in length. Their secondary structure includes four short double-helical elements and three loops (D, anti-codon, and T loops).
Source: RNAcentral
GUCGCAUUGGACUUCUGGUGAGGUCUGCAGGCUUUCAUCCUGCCCAGAGGGGUUCGAAUCCCCUAUGCGACGCCA